Molecule: transfer RNA, 85 nt
Filed under: Felis catus (domestic cat)
Lineage: Eukaryota; Metazoa; Chordata; Mammalia; Carnivora; Felidae
Also listed under: 1 other name
Rfam family: tRNA
About the family: Transfer RNA (tRNA) molecules are approximately 80 nucleotides in length. Their secondary structure includes four short double-helical elements and three loops (D, anti-codon, and T loops).
Source: Rfam by way of RNAcentral
GCCUGGGUGGCUCAGUCGGUUAAGCAUCUGACUUCGGCUCAGGUCAUGAUCUCACGGUCCGUGAGUUCGAGCCCCACGUCGGGCU